AGAGCGAACGCUGGCGGCAGGCCUAACACAUGCAAGUCGAACGGACCCUUCGGGGUUAGUGGCGGACGGGUGAGUAACACGUGGGAACGUGCCUUUAGGUUCGGAAUAGCUCCUGGAAACGGGUGGUAAUGCCGAAUGUGCCCUUCGGGGGAAAGAUUUAUCGCCUUUAGAGCGGCCCGCGUCUGAUUAGCUUGUUGGUGAGGUAAUGGCUCACCAAGGCUACGAUCAGUAGCUGGUCUGAGAGGAUGACCAGCCACAUUGGGACUGAGACACGGCCCAAACUCCUACGGGAGGCAGCAGUGGGGAAUCUUGCGCAAUGGGCGAAAGCCUGACGCAGCCAUGCCGCGUGUAUGAUGAAGGUCUUAGGAUUGUAAAAAUACUUUCACCGGUGAAGAUAAUGACUGUAGCCGGAGAAGAAGCCCCGGCUAAACUUCGUGCCAGCAGCCGC
Molecule: ribosomal RNA, 448 nt
Filed under: uncultured soil bacterium
Lineage: Bacteria
Description: bacterial SSU rRNA
Rfam family: Bacterial small subunit ribosomal RNA
Source: RNAcentral